GUGAGUAACACGUAAGCGACCUGCCCUUGAGUGGGGGAUAACCCCGAGAAAUUGGGGCUAAUACCGCAUAAAGUGUUUGGGGUAAGGCCCGGACACCAAAGUCUUCGGGUGCUUGAGGAGGGGCUUGCGGCCUAUCAGGUAGUUGGUGACGGUAACGGCCCACCAAGCCGAUGACGGGUAGCUGGUUUGAGAGGAUGAUCAGCCACAUUGGGACUGAGACACGGCCCAGACUCCUACGGGAGGCAGCAGCAGGGAAUAUUGCGCAAUGGGCGAAGGCCUGACGCAGCAACGCCGCGUGGGUGAAGAAGGCCUUCGGGUCGUAAAGCCCUUUUCUUGGGGAAGAAGCACUGACGGUACCCAGGGAAUAAGCCUCGGCUAAUCACGUGCCAGCAGCCGCGGUGAUACGUGAGAGGCGAGCGUUAUCCGGAUUUACUGGGCGUAAAGGGCGUGUAGGCGGUUGGGCAAGUCCUUUGUGAAAUCUCCUGGCUUAAUCGGGAGGGGUCAAAGGAAACUACCUGACUUGAGGGUAGCAGGGGGAGAUGGAAUUCUCGGUGGAGCGGUGAAAUGCGUAGAUAUCGAGAGGAACACCAGUGGCGAAGGCGAUCUCCUGGGCUAUACCUGACGCUGAGGCGCGAAAGCGUGGGGAGCAAACAGGAUUAGAUACCCU
RNAcentral lists this ribosomal RNA (667 nucleotides) under uncultured bacterium. Its description in RNAcentral is "bacterial SSU rRNA". It matches the Rfam family "Bacterial small subunit ribosomal RNA", at positions 106 to 788 of the family's 1533-position model. The record is from RNAcentral.